GCAAUAGUGGUUCAGCUGUAGGAUUCUCACCUUCAAUACGGGAGACCUGGGUUCAGUUCCCAGCCAAUGCA
Molecule: transfer RNA, 71 nt
Filed under: Loxodonta africana (African savanna elephant)
Lineage: Eukaryota; Metazoa; Chordata; Mammalia; Proboscidea; Elephantidae
Rfam family: tRNA
About the family: Transfer RNA (tRNA) molecules are approximately 80 nucleotides in length. Their secondary structure includes four short double-helical elements and three loops (D, anti-codon, and T loops).
Source: Rfam by way of RNAcentral